Molecule: long non-coding RNA, 916 nt
Filed under: Amborella trichopoda
Lineage: Eukaryota; Viridiplantae; Streptophyta; Magnoliopsida; Amborellales; Amborellaceae
Description: long non-coding RNA (ATRI_LNC000673)
Source: RNAcentral
UUCAACCAAUAUCCUUCCUAUUCCAGAUGCGAGAUGCGAUUGCGGUAGUCGCUCAAGUUAACGAAGGCUUCGAAGGAAAAAUAGGAAAGCAGUAUAGAAGGAACGAAUAGGAAAGCCAAAGACAUGAAGAGGAAAGCCGAAGAAGACUUGCAGAUGAUUGAAUAAAGAAGGAAGAAGAAAGCAGGUAAGAUUGAAUGAAGAGGAAAGUCGGUAAGAAGAAGAGGUCUUUCCUUCCCUUCGGUCAGUACGUAAGUCAAGCUAUCAUUCAAGUCAGUAAGUACGUCAAGACAUCAUUCCUUCAGUCAGUCAUUCAUUCCCUCCUUCGGGAACAAAAUACUUUAGACCUGUUCACAUACAAUUUAGACCUCUAACAAGAUAAAAAGACAGGUUGAAAAUGGCUAACGGACUUGAUCAAUUACAGAUAGAGUUGAAUGACAAGGAAAGAAGAUUUUAUACGCAUAACUUUUUUUUUGAGGGACUUGAACACGCUAUUGAAGAGCCCCUUCGGUCUUAUCUCAACUAUUCAUACUACCGCUCCAGCUUGGCCCUCUCCCCGAGAGUGCCUUCGCUUCCGCUCUCUUAACUCAAACUUCAACCUGAAUAGAAACAUAUGAUAGAGCUGGCUUUAAACGCUAGGAAAGAGAAAUGGACUAUGACCCUACCUGCUUGAGCUGGAAGACUGACUGAAGUAAAGAGAUUCAAAUCACAGCUAACUGGCCUGACGGGACUGGAAACUGAGGGAAAGAAGAUUUGAAACACAAAGUCGGAGCUUAAGGCCGGACGAAAGAGAAGAUAGAUUAGAUUACAGCGGUAGCGGGUCGAGCCCUACGGGGUGUGCCUUCGGUCUUUAGUCCACCUCUUCUUUCUACGCUGACCUACCCUUCGUCUAUUCUCAAGAGGUCGUUACCGUUCUUCC